AUUAAUUCUGGGCUUCUUGCUAGAGUGGUAGUAUGUUAGUGCACUGUACUUUAAGGGCUUAAAAGCUGAAUAUAUAGAACUUAUCAGGGCUGUUCAAAUACAGCCAAAAUAGGAAUGUUCCUUUCAACUGUAACUACUUAAUUCUGCUUCAUUCAAGCUAACAAUUGCAUGUAAACAUUCUUACUUUGUUUUAAUUUCAAGCAACACAACUCAGAACAUGCGCGACUGCAAGUUCCUACAUCACAAGUAAGGUGAGUGGACUGCCAGCUCCUGAUGUGUCAUGGUAUCUAAAUGGAAGACCAGUUCAAUCAGAUGAUUUGCACAAAAUGAUAGUGUCUGAGAAGGGUCUUCAUUCACUCAUCUUUGAAGUAGUCAGAGCUUCAGAUGCAGGGGCUUAUGCAUGUGUUGCCAAGAAUAGAGCAGGAGAAGCCACCUUCACUGUGCAGCUGGAUGUCCUUGCAAAAGAACAUAAAAGAGCACCAAUGUUUAUCUACAAACCACAGAGCAAAAAAGUUUUAGAGGGAGAUUCAGUGAAACUAGAAUGCCAGAUCUCGGCUAUACCUCCACCAAAGCUUUUCU
This 579-nucleotide small RNA is filed under the name Pan troglodytes (chimpanzee). RNAcentral describes it as "retained intron". Lineage: Eukaryota; Metazoa; Chordata; Mammalia; Primates; Hominidae. The record is from RNAcentral.